Molecule: long non-coding RNA, 302 nt
Filed under: Homo sapiens (human)
Lineage: Eukaryota; Metazoa; Chordata; Mammalia; Primates; Hominidae
Description: non-protein coding lnc-SOD2-2:5
Source: RNAcentral
CAUCUCUCCAACUGGAUUUUAUGCAGUCACCCUGUUGAAGUGUACUGUGUGGGUCCAGAUGGGAGUGGAUGUUCAGCUCUCACUGGGCUCCACUGAUAUCAGCCCAGCCAGAGUGGAGUGCCAGCUGACCCCGCCUUGCUUUGCCUCACUCUGCCUUGUAGCUAAUGGGUGGGGGUGGAAGUCUUGCUUGGACUGUCGAUACCAGGAGUGGGGAGGGGGAAAAGGGACUGUGUUGUUGUGUAAUAAAGGAUUUGACUUUGUCCCUGGCUCCUGAGAAGGAGACUCUAAGUCUUUGGAAAUUC